RNAcentral lists this ribosomal RNA (433 nucleotides) under uncultured bacterium. RNAcentral describes it as "partial 16S ribosomal RNA". It matches the Rfam family "Bacterial small subunit ribosomal RNA", at positions 29 to 507 of the family's 1533-position model. The record is from RNAcentral.
AACGAACGCUGGCGGCAUGCCUAACACAUGCAAGUCGAACGAGACCUUCGGGUCUAGUGGCGCACGGGUGCGUAACGCGUGGGAAUCUACCCUCAGGUUCGGAAUAACUCAGAGAAAUUUGAGCUAAUACCGGAUGAUGACGUAAGUCCAAAGAUUUAUCGCCUGAGGAUGAGCCCGCGUAGCAUUAGGUAGUUGGUGAGGUAAAGGCCCACCAAGCCGACGAUCCUUAGCUGGUCUGAGAGGAUGAUCAGCCACACUGGGACUGAGACACGGCCCAGACUCCUGCGGAAGGCAGCAGUGGGGAAUAUUGCAAAAUGGGGGAGAGCCUGAUGGAGCGACGGCGCGUGAGCGAAGAAGGCCUUCGGGUCGUAAAGCUCUGUCCUAUGGGAAGAAAAGGACGGUACCAAAGAAGGAAGCCCCGGCUAACUACGUG